UGCCCUUUAGUUUAAUGGCAGAACAGAGGUCUUUGACACCUAUAACGCAAGUUCGAUCCUUGCAGGGGCAGCCA
Molecule: transfer RNA, 74 nt
Filed under: Lachnospiraceae bacterium
Lineage: Bacteria; Bacillati; Bacillota; Clostridia; Lachnospirales; Lachnospiraceae
Description: tRNA-Gln
Rfam family: tRNA
About the family: Transfer RNA (tRNA) molecules are approximately 80 nucleotides in length.
Source: RNAcentral